Molecule: small nucleolar RNA, 106 nt
Filed under: Carlito syrichta (Philippine tarsier)
Lineage: Eukaryota; Metazoa; Chordata; Mammalia; Primates; Tarsiidae
Description: Small nucleolar RNA SNORD113/SNORD114 family (ENSTSYG00000022873.2)
Rfam family: Small nucleolar RNA SNORD113/SNORD114 family (bases 1-71)
About the family: The imprinted human domain at 14q32 contains two clusters of tandemly repeated small nucleolar RNAs named 14q(I) and 14q(II) snoRNAs. These two clusters are named SNORD113 and SNORD114 respectively in the HGNC approved gene symbol nomenclature.
Source: RNAcentral
UGGAUCGAUGGUGACUGUGGGUGGUGUAUGAGUUAUAGAUGAUGAAUAUGUGUGAGUGCUUCGAGGUUCGUCAAAGAGGGCACAUGGCCCAUUCCCUCUGAUUCAA